Molecule: ribosomal RNA, 468 nt
Filed under: uncultured bacterium
Lineage: Bacteria
Description: partial 16S ribosomal RNA
Rfam family: Bacterial small subunit ribosomal RNA
Source: RNAcentral
GACGAACGCUGGCGGCGUGCUUAACACAUGCAAGUCGAACGGAAAGGCCCUGCUUUUGUGGGGUGCUCGAGUGGCGAACGGGUGAGUAACACGUGAGUAACCUGCCCUUGACUUUGGGAUAACUUCAGGAAACUGGGGCUAAUACCGGAUAGGAGCUCCUGCUGCAUGGUGGGGGUUGGAAAGUUUCGGCGGUUGGGGAUGGACGCGCGGCUUAUCAGUUUGUUGGUGGGGUAGUGGCUUACCAAGGCUUUGACGGGUAGCCGGCCUGAGAGGGUGACCGGCCACAUUGGGACUGAGAUACGGGCCAGACUCCUACGGGAGGCAGCGGUGGGGAAUAUUGCACAAUGGGCGGAAGCCUGAUGCAGCAACGCCGCGUGCGGGAUGACGGCCUUCGGGGUAUAAACCGCUUUCGCCUGUGACGAAGCGUGAGUGACGGUAAUGGGUAAGGAAGCACCGGCUAACUACGUG